CAACCAAGGGCCUCUGUCUGGAUUUCUAAGGAAGAAAUUUUCUUUGAAGAUCUGGAACUUGCUACCACCAGCACCACACCCUACCAAUAUCCAGCACUGACCCCCGAGUAGAAAAAGGAGCUGUCUGACAUUGCUCACUGCAUCGUGGCCCUGGGCAAGGGCAUCCUGGCUGCAGAUGAGUCCACUGGGAGCACUGCCAAGCAGCUGCAGUCCAUUGGCACCAAGAACACUGAGGAGAAGUGGUGCUUCUACCACCAGCUGCUGCUGAGAGCUGAGAACCGCAUGACCCCUGCAUCGGGGGCGUCAUUCUCUUCCACAAGACACUCUACCAGAAGGGGGAUGAUGGAUGUCCCUUCCCCCAAGUUACCAAAUCCAAGGGCAGUGUUGUGGACAUCAAGGUAGACAAGAGUGUGGUCCCCCUGGCAGGGACAAAUGUAAGACCACCACCCAAGGGCUGGAUGGGCUGUCUGAACGCUGUGCCCAGUACAAGACAAACGGUGCUGACUUUACCAAGUGGCGUUGUGUGCUGAUGACUGGGGAACACACCCCCUCAAUCCUCGCCAUCAUGGAAAAUGCCAACGUCCUGGCCUGUUAUGCCAGCAUCUACCAGCAGAAUGGCAUUGUGCCCAUCGUGGAGCCUGAAAUCCUCCCUGAUGGGGACCAUGACUUGAAGCGCUGUCAGUAUGUGACCGAGAUGGUGCUGGCUGCUGUCUACAAGGCUCUGAGAGACCACCACGUCUACCUGGAAGGCACCUUGCCCCAAAGCCCAACAUGGUUACACCAGGCCACAUCCCCACUCAGAAGUUUUCUCACGAGAAGAUUGCCAUGGCAACUGUCACAGCACUGCGCGCGCUCAGUUCCCCGAGCUGUCCUUGGGAUCACCUUCCUUUCUGGAGGCCAGAGUGAGAAGGCAUCCAUCAACCUCAGUGCCAUUAACAAGUGCCCCCUGCUGAAGCAUGAGGCCCUUACCUUCUCCUAGGGCCGAGUCCUGCAGGCCUCUGCCCUGUAGCCUGGGGCAGGAAGAAAAACAAGGCGGCGGCGCAGGAGGAGUACAUAAAGCACGCCCUGGCCAACAGCUUCGCCUGUCAAGGAAAGUACACCCCAACCAGUCAGACAGGGGCUGCUGCCAGCAAGUCCUUCUUCAUCUCUAACCAUGCCUACUAAGUGGAGGUGUUCCCAGGCUGCCCCCAACACUCCAGGCCCCACCCCCUCCCACAUUCUCUUGAAGAGGGGGCCUCCUACUCCGGGGCUCCAGGCUGGCUUGCCCAUGCUCUUGCCUUCCUCAUCACAGUGGUGUGCGGUGUCGUCUGUGAAUGCUAACUCCAUCACCCUUUCCAGCACACUGCCAAUUAACAGCUAUUUAAG
Cebus imitator (Panamanian white-faced capuchin) is the source of this 1365-nucleotide RNA transcript. It is a transcript of the gene named fructose-bisphosphate aldolase A-like, with no coding region annotated. The transcript has a single exon. The record is from RefSeq and is a predicted model, not a curated record. NCBI's taxonomy places the organism in Eukaryota, Metazoa, Chordata, Mammalia, Primates, Cebidae.